GACAGCAGUCGCCGCGGGAAUACGGAGGGGGCUAGCGUUGUUCGGAAUUACUGGGCGUAAAGCGCACGUAGGCGGCUUGGUAAGUUAGAGGUGAAAGCCUGGAGCUCAACUCCAGAAUUGCCUUUAAGACUGCCGAGCUAGCAGGUGAGAGAGGUAAGUGGAAUUCCGAGUGUAGAGGUGAAAUUCGUAGAUAUUCGGAAGAACACCAGUGGCGAAGGCGGCUUACUGGCUCAUACUGGACGCUGAGGUGCGAAAGCGUGGGGAGCAAACAGGAUUAGAUACCCCUGUAGUCCCUGUCUCUUAUAC
Molecule: ribosomal RNA, 306 nt
Filed under: uncultured bacterium
Lineage: Bacteria
Description: partial 16S ribosomal RNA
Rfam family: Bacterial small subunit ribosomal RNA
Source: RNAcentral